CUCAGGAGGAAGGAAGGAAAAACAGCCACCUCUGGCCUCUGGCCUCUCCAGGCUCUCCACCCCGGGGGCAGAAUCAAUUCCGUAGCCCUCUAGCACCGGUAGUGGCUCCGCAGUCGGCUGGGCAGUGGCCGUGACUGGGUCACUCUACCGUAGGAAGUGAGCGCAGGGGCCGCUGGAGAGCUGGAGGCUGGCGGAGACUAUGUGAAGUUCUCCAAGGAGAAGUACAUCCUGGACUCAUCGCCAGAGAAACUCCACAAGGAAUUGGAGGAGGAGCUCAAACUCAGCAGCACGGAUCUCCGCAGCCAUGCCUGGUACCACGGCCGCAUCCCCCGAGAGGUCUCGGAGACCUUGGUACAACGCAACGGCGACUUCCUCAUCCGGGACUCACUCACCAGCCUGGGCGACUAUGUGCUCACAUGCCGCUGGCGCAACCAGGCCUUGCACUUCAAGAUCAACAAGGUGGUGGUGAAGGCAGGCGAGAGCUACACACACAUCCAGUACCUGUUUGAGCAGGAGAGCUUCGACCACGUGCCCGCCCUCGUGCGCUAUCACGUGGGCAGCCGCAAGGCUGUGUCAGAGCAGAGUGGUGCCAUCAUCUACUGCCCGGUGAACCGCACCUUCCCACUGCGCUACCUCGAGGCCAGCUAUGGCCUGGGACAGGGGAGUAGCAAGCCUGCCAGCCCUGUCAGCCCCUCAGGCCCCAAGGGCAGCCACAUGAAGCGGCGCAGCGUCACCAUGACCGAUGGGCUCACUGCCGACAAGGUCACCCGCAGCGAUGGCUGCCCCACCAGUACUUCGCUGCCCCGUCCUCGGGACUCCAUCCGCAGCUGUGCCCUCAGCAUGGACCAGAUCCCAGACCUGAACUCGCCCAUGUCGCCCAUCUCCGAGAGCCCUAGCUCCCCCGCCUACAGCACUG
Molecule: small RNA, 916 nt
Filed under: Pongo abelii (Sumatran orangutan)
Lineage: Eukaryota; Metazoa; Chordata; Mammalia; Primates; Hominidae
Description: processed transcript
Source: RNAcentral